AGGAGUAUAGUUCAACGGUAGAACAACGGGCACCAACCCCGUGUGUUGUGGGUUCGAAUCCUGCUACUCUA
This 71-nucleotide transfer RNA is filed under the name Mycoplasmopsis cynos. RNAcentral describes it as "tRNA-Trp". It matches the Rfam family "tRNA". Rfam says of the family: Transfer RNA (tRNA) molecules are approximately 80 nucleotides in length. Their secondary structure includes four short double-helical elements and three loops (D, anti-codon, and T loops). Further hydrogen bonds mediate the characteristic L-shaped molecular structure. tRNAs have two regions of fundamental functional importance: the anti-codon, which is responsible for specific mRNA codon recognition, and the 3' end, to which the tRNAs corresponding amino acid is attached (by aminoacyl-tRNA synthetases). tRNAs cope with the degeneracy of the genetic code in two manners: having more than one tRNA (with a specific anti-codon) for a particular amino acid; and 'wobble' base-pairing, i.e. permitting non-standard base-pairing at the 3rd anti-codon position. The record is from RNAcentral. Lineage: Bacteria; Bacillati; Mycoplasmatota; Mycoplasmoidales; Metamycoplasmataceae.